UGGUGGAGUGAUUUGUCUGGUUAAUUCCGAUAACGAACGAGACCUUAACCUGCUAACUAGAUGGGUGUGUUAUGACACAUUCAGGCUUCUUAGAGGGACUGUGUGGUAAAACCUCAAGGAAGUUUAAGGCAAUAACA
Molecule: ribosomal RNA, 137 nt
Filed under: uncultured eukaryote
Lineage: Eukaryota
Description: partial 18S ribosomal RNA
Rfam family: Eukaryotic small subunit ribosomal RNA
Source: RNAcentral